UGGGGAAUAUUGCACAAUGGGGGAAACCCUGAUGCAGCGACGCCGCGUGAGCGAAGAAGUAUUUCGGUAUGUAAAGCUCUAUCAGCAGGGAAGAAAAUGACGGUACCUGACUAAGAAGCCCCGGCUAACUACGUGCCAGCAGCCGCGGUAAUACGUAGGGGGCAAGCGUUAUCCGGAUUUACUGGGUGUAAAGGGAGCGUAGACGGAAUGGCAAGUCUGAUGUGAAAGGCCGGGGCUCAACCCCGGGACUGCAUUGGAAACUGUCAAUCUAGAGUACCGGAGGGGUAAGUGGAAUUCCUAGUGUAGCGGUGAAAUGCGUAGAUAUUAGGAGGAACACCAGUGGCGAAGGCGGCUUACUGGACGGUAACUGACGUUGAGGCUCGAAAGCGUGGGGAGCAAACAGGA
Molecule: ribosomal RNA, 405 nt
Filed under: uncultured bacterium
Lineage: Bacteria
Description: bacterial SSU rRNA
Rfam family: Bacterial small subunit ribosomal RNA
Source: RNAcentral